CUACCCCAAGGCCUGAUGAAACCCACUUCUUUUGGCCCAAGGAAACUCACAUGCUGGCAACAUUUAUGUACUGUAUUCAUUUCCUAGGGCUUCCCAUAACAAAUUAUGAAAAAAAUGGGGUGACUUUUUUUAACUUGUUUUAACAGCAAGAAUUUCUUUUCUCACAGUUUUGGAGGCUAGAAGUCUGAGAUCAAGACAUUGGCAGGUCCAUGCUCUCUGAUGGCUUUAAGGAAGAGCCCUCCCUGCCUCUUCCUGGCUUCUGUAGGUUCUUGGCAAUCCUUGGUUUGUAGAUGCAUCACUCCAACCUCUGCCUCUGUCAUCACAUGGCUACAUCUUCUCCCUGCAUGUCUCCUUCUUCCUCCUAUAAGGCCAUUAGUCAUACUGAAUUAAGAACCCAUCAUAUCUUAACUGAUAUCUCCAAUGACGCUGGUUUCCAAAUAAGGUCACUUUUUUUUUUUUUUUUUUUUUUGGAGACAGAGUCUCGCUCUGUCACCCAGGCUGGAGUGCAGUGGUGCAAUCUCAGCUCACUGUAACUUCCACCUCCUGGGUUCAAGCGAUUCAUGUGCCUCAGCCUCCAGAGCAGCUAAAGAUAAUUUUUUGUGUUUUUAGUUUGAGGUCACGAGUUUGAGACCAGCCUGACCAACAUGUCUAAACCCCAUCUCUACUGAAAAUAUAAAAAUUAGCCAGGUGUGGUGGUGCGUGCCUGUAGUCCCAGCUACUUGGGAGGCUGAGGCAGGAGAAUUGCUCGAACCUGGGAGGUGGAGGUUGCAAUGAGCCGAGAUCAUGCCACUGCACUCCAGCCUGGGUGACAGAGGGAGACUCCAUCUCAAAAAAAAAAAAAAAAAAAUUAUCCUGGUGUUGGGGCAUGUUCCUAUAGUCUCAGCUACUUGCGGGGCUGAGGUGGGAGAAUUGAUUGAGCCUGGAAGGUUGAGGCUGCAGUGUGCUAU
This 947-nucleotide long non-coding RNA is filed under the name Homo sapiens (human). RNAcentral describes it as "non-protein coding lnc-PAX5-4:1". Lineage: Eukaryota; Metazoa; Chordata; Mammalia; Primates; Hominidae. The record is from RNAcentral.